UGCCCAGGGCGACACACGUGCUACAAUGGCAUAUACAAUGAGACGCAAUACCGCGAGGUGGAGCAAAUCUAUAAAAUAUGUCCUAGUUCGGAUUGUUCUCUGCAACUCGAGAGCAUGAAGCCGGAAUCGCUAGUAAUCGUAGAUCAGCCAUGCUACGGUGAAUACGUUCCCGGGUCUUGUACUCACCGCCCGUCACACCAUGGGAGUUGAUUUCACUCGAAGCCGGAAUACUAAACUAGUUACCGUCCACAGUGGAAUCAGCGACUGGGGUGAAGUCGUAACAAGGUAACCGUAGGAGAACCUGCGGUUGGAUCACCUCCUUUCUAG
RNAcentral lists this ribosomal RNA (327 nucleotides) under Campylobacter coli. RNAcentral's name for it is "bacterial SSU rRNA". It matches the Rfam family "Bacterial small subunit ribosomal RNA", at positions 1205 to 1533 of the family's 1533-position model. Lineage: Bacteria; Pseudomonadati; Campylobacterota; Epsilonproteobacteria; Campylobacterales; Campylobacteraceae. The record is from RNAcentral.